Long non-coding RNA from Leopardus geoffroyi (Geoffroy's cat), 536 nucleotides. RefSeq lists it as uncharacterized. The record is from RefSeq and is a predicted model, not a curated record. The transcript has 4 exons. Lineage: Eukaryota; Metazoa; Chordata; Mammalia; Carnivora; Felidae.
GCAAAUCAUCCCUCUAAUAUCCACAAGGAUUCAUCCACUGAGGCUGCCCUACCAUCUGGCUGCCCUUCCUCUUCCUCAUUUCUAGUCCUUCCUCAGUGCUAACCUUCAGAAUUAGAGAACUUAAUCGUGGAUUUAUGGAUAAAGCACUCAUGCUUCUGAAAUAGAAGUGAAUUAUCGGCAGUCCAAGAACUCACAGCCGGUGAUCUCCAUUAAUUGUCUCCCAGUACAUAUUUUAAUCCUUUACUCUUAGCCAACAUGGGUUUGGCAGCCAAAGCAUAUGUGCUGGCUUGAGACUCCAGAUUCCAGAGGCACUUCAUUACAAAGCAAUCACCACUGCCUUUGCUGUCUCCUUCCUGACAGCCCGGCUAAGGGGUUUGGACACAAGUAGGUGUAUGCAGUUAACCAGCAGGAGUCCACCCUGGACACACGGUCAUUUAUUCUGAAGGAUUCCUCCUAUACAUCCAGGUUCCUCUACUUAGUUAUCAGCAUGCCCUGAGGUGCUCUCUGACCAUCCAAGUUUAUCACCCCAUCCAGAG